Molecule: long non-coding RNA, 243 nt
Filed under: Pelobates cultripes (western spadefoot toad)
Lineage: Eukaryota; Metazoa; Chordata; Amphibia; Anura; Pelobatidae
Source: RNAcentral
AUCUACUUGGAUUUUUGCCAAGGCAUUUGAUACGGUUCCUCACAAUAGGUUAGUCUUCAAACUAAAAGAAAUUGGUCUAGAUGAAUAUUCUUGUUCUUGGGUAGAACAUUGGCUUAAGGAUAGAGUACAACGAGUUGUAAUUAAUGGUAAAUUUUCAGGCUGGACAAAAGUGGUAAGUGGUGUCCCUCGGGGUUCUGUUUUGGGACCACUUUUAUUUAACAUAUUUAUAAAUGAUCUUGAAAU